Molecule: ribosomal RNA, 142 nt
Filed under: uncultured Alphaproteobacteria bacterium
Lineage: Bacteria; Pseudomonadati; Pseudomonadota; Alphaproteobacteria
Description: partial 16S ribosomal RNA
Rfam family: Bacterial small subunit ribosomal RNA
Source: RNAcentral
AGCGUUGUUCGGAAUUACUGGGCGUAAAGCGCACGUAGGCGGAUAUUUAAGUCCGGGGUGAAAUCCCGCAGCUCAACUGCGGAACUGCCUUUGAUACUGGGUAUCUUGAGUAUGGAAGAGGUAAGUGGAAUUGCGAGUGUAG